CCUCGCAGGAUUCGGGAACAGUUGGAACGACUGCUAAUACCGGAUGUGCCUAAGGGUGAAAGGCUUGCUGCCUGAAGAAGAGCUUGCGUCCGAUUAGCUAGUUGGUGAGGUAAAGGCUUACCAAGGCAUCGAUCGGUAGCUGGUCUGAGAGGAUGACCAGCCACACUGGGACUGAGACAAGGCCCAUACUCCUACGGGAGGCAGCAGUGGGGAAUUUUCCGCAAUGGGCGAAAGCCUGACGGAGCAAUACCGCGUGAGGGAAGAAGGCUCUUGGGUUGUAAACCUCUUUUCUCAGGGAAUAAAAAAAUGAAGGUACCUGAGGAAUAAGCAUCGGCUAACUCCGUGCCAGCAGCCGCGGUAAUACGGAGGAUGCAAGCGUUAUCCGGAAUGAUUGGGCGUAAAGCGUCCGCAGGUGGUACAACAAGUCUAGUGUCAAAGACCGGGGCUCAACCCCGGAAAGGCGGUAGAAACUGUUGAACUAGAGGGUCGUAGGGGUAGAGGGAAUUCCCAGUGUAGCGGUGAAAUGCGUAGAGAUUGGGAAGAACAUCGGUGGCGAAGGCGCUCUACUGGACGGCAACUGACACUCAAGGACGAAAGCUAGGGGAGCGAAUGGGAUUAGAUACCCCUGUAUUCACACGCGU
This 641-nucleotide ribosomal RNA is filed under the name Geitlerinema sp. CALU1326. RNAcentral's name for it is "bacterial SSU rRNA". It matches the Rfam family "Bacterial small subunit ribosomal RNA", at positions 129 to 802 of the family's 1533-position model. Lineage: Bacteria; Bacillati; Cyanobacteriota; Cyanophyceae; Geitlerinematales; Geitlerinemataceae. The record is from RNAcentral.